GAGUUCCUGGUGAUCGUGUUCCCUUAACUGGGCGAUAGCCACCGUCGCCGCCAUCAUCGCUUCAGCGCAAGUUUCAGCUGCUCUAACGCUGCCGGUGAGUAGCGGCAGAGUGCUAGUGACCAAGUUUGCUGUACCGCUGUAGACUUUUCCUUCGCGCACGAGUUACUUGGCAAGUGCAUCCCUUCCUGCCAAAGUUAAAGGCCCUCGGAGAGAAUGGCGGCCGACACCAAGGACCUAGUCGCCGCGAUCAAAGUUGCCCUGCCCCGCAUCACCGAUGACCGCAUGCUAUUCCUGAUGCAAGAACUUGGAGCCAAGGGCGUACGAUGUAAGGCGGAUAUGAAGAAAUUGCAGGCCGUCGACCUUGUCAAUGCACUGGGGACAAACGACGCGAAGAAACUUGUUGCAUUCUUUAGGACUCCGGAACUCCCAGAUGAGAUCAUCACCGAUGGCGCAAGGCUUUUCGACACCAGGGAGCCUGCCGGAAGUCAAGAGAUGGAAGCGAUGUUCCAGAAUGCAAGCGCACAGGUGGCGUCUGAAUAUCGAGAGCUGGCCGCCACUCUGGACAUGGAGCAGGCGAAGAGGCAGGAAAUCCACGAAGCCGCUAUGCAAGACAUCACCUUAAGCGCGUCCCGCCAAGCCGAGGAGCAUCGAGACAAAAUGAAGGAGCUGCAAGCAAAGCGAGAGGCCGCAUCACGUGAACACGAGGAGAUGUUGCAACGCAUGCGCGAAGAAUGCAAGCUGCGCGCCCAGAAACGGGAGCAAGAGGAGCGUGAACACCUCGAGUGCUUGGAACGGCGGCAGAGGGAGCAUCAACGGCAGCCCGUUCGACGCUUUGUGGCUGCGUUUUCAGAGUACUGCGCUAGAGGGCGCAGACGUCAGCCUGCGCUCACGAUCAAGGGGCCUGAUCGCGAUCGCCCAGAUCCGGAUCCCGCAGGAUCGAGAUCGCAAAUGACCGUGUAGCAACACCCAAUGCGGAUCAGGCUCGAUCCGGACCGGCGCUGAUCGCGAUCAGAAGCGAGCUGCGGAUUUCGUGGUGAAAGUGGUUACUCGAAGCCCGACUGGAGGUUCAAGCGGUCCGUAGAAUUUGUCACAGGACUUCAACGGCGCUCCUCGUUCAGCAAAUUAAAUGGGCUGCACAGUGGCUCAACAGUGACGUCCUCUUCUGCGCUUCUCCAAUUAUUAUUCGUGUGAAGUUCUGCUUAGUUUCAGCACAUUGUUUCUACGUGGGUUGCGAAUCAUGGAAUAAAUGAAGAUCCCAUAA
RNA transcript from Dermacentor albipictus, 1261 nucleotides. It is a transcript of the gene named protein enabled homolog, with no coding region annotated. The record is from RefSeq and is a predicted model, not a curated record. Lineage: Eukaryota; Metazoa; Arthropoda; Arachnida; Ixodida; Ixodidae.